Salvia splendens (bonfire salvia) is the source of this 348-nucleotide long non-coding RNA. RefSeq lists it as uncharacterized. The transcript has 3 exons. The record is from RefSeq and is a predicted model, not a curated record. Lineage: Eukaryota; Viridiplantae; Streptophyta; Magnoliopsida; Lamiales; Lamiaceae.
AAAAUCUCAAACUCAGCAAGAUGGGCAGAGGCGCUAAGCUUUAGAGCGAGAAAAUAAUGUUCGACAGCAACCAAUUUGACUCCACGCCCAGCUUCGUCUCUUCGCAAACCGCCGAUCCAUCUCCCUCCUCUGCCAAGUCUCGAGAUGCCCAGCCGAUGCAUCCGGUAACGGUGAAGCAAAUAGUGGAAGCGAAGCGAGUCCAUCAGACGGCGACAAGUCGGAUAUCCUCAUCGACGGCAUCAACGUCUACAAUGUGAAAUUGAUGGGAAUGGUAUUUGACAAAACAGCAAGGGUUACUGAUGUGUCAUUCGUGAUUGAUGAUGGUACAGGGCGUAUUGGCUGCAAGAG